AUUGAACGCUGGCGGCAUGCCUUACACAUGCAGGUCGAACGGCAGCACGGGAGCAAUCCUGGUGGCGAGUGGCGAACGGGUGAGUAAAGUAUCGGAACGUGCCCAGUCGUGGGGGAUAACGUAGCGAAAGUUACGCUAAUACCGCAUACGAUCUAUGGAUGAAAGCGGGGGAUCGCAAGACCUCGCGCGAUUGGAGCGGCCGAUAUCAGAUUAGGUAGUUGGUGGGGUAAAGGCUCACCAAGCCGACGAUCUGUAGCUGGUCUGAGAGGACGACCAGCCACACUGGGACUGAGACACGGCCCAGACUCCUACGGGAGGCAGCAGUGGGGAAUUUUGGACAAUGGGCGAAAGCCUGAUCCAGCCAUGCUGCGUGCAGGAUGAAGGCCUUCGGGUUGUAAACUGCUUUUGUACGGAACGAAAAGGUUUGGCCUAAUAAGCUGAGCUCAUGACGGUACCGUAAGAAUAAGCACCGGCUAACUACGUGCCAGCAGCCGCGGUAA
RNAcentral lists this ribosomal RNA (500 nucleotides) under uncultured bacterium. RNAcentral's name for it is "partial 16S ribosomal RNA". It matches the Rfam family "Bacterial small subunit ribosomal RNA", at positions 30 to 523 of the family's 1533-position model. The record is from RNAcentral.